GGCGCUAUCGUCUAAUGGUCAGGACAACAGAUUUUCAAUCUGUCAAUCCGGGUUCGAUUCCCGGUAGCGCUACCA
This 75-nucleotide transfer RNA is filed under the name Candidatus Portnoybacteria bacterium RBG_13_40_8. Its description in RNAcentral is "tRNA-Glu". It matches the Rfam family "tRNA". From Rfam's summary of the family: Transfer RNA (tRNA) molecules are approximately 80 nucleotides in length. Their secondary structure includes four short double-helical elements and three loops (D, anti-codon, and T loops). Lineage: Bacteria; Candidatus Portnoyibacteriota. RNAcentral also lists the same sequence under 1 other name. The record is from RNAcentral.